CCUACGGGAGGCAGCAGUGAGGAAUAUUGGUCAAUGGGCGCGAGCCUGAACCAGCCAAGUAGCGUGAAGGAUGAAUGCCCUACGGGCUGUAAAUUUUAUUUAUAAAGGCAUAAAGUGAGGCACGUGUGCCUUUUUGUAUGUACUUUAUGAAUAAGGAUUGGCUAACUCCGUGCCAGCAGCCGCGGUAAUACGGAGGGUUCGGGGGUUAUACGGAUUUAUUGGGUUUAAGGGGAGCGUAGGCCGGUCUUUAAGCGUGCUGUGAAAUUUUGUGGCUCAACCAUGAGAGUGCGGCGCGAACUGGAGACCUUGAGUGCGCGGAAGGCAGGCGGAAUUCGUGGUGUAGCGGUGAAAUGCAUAGAUAUCACGCAGAACUCCGAUCGCGAAGGCAGCCUACCGGCGCGCAACUGACGCUCAUGCACGAAAGCGUGGGUAUCGAACAGGAUUAGAUACCCUGGUAGUC
RNAcentral lists this ribosomal RNA (460 nucleotides) under uncultured bacterium. RNAcentral's name for it is "partial 16S ribosomal RNA". It matches the Rfam family "Bacterial small subunit ribosomal RNA", at positions 338 to 795 of the family's 1533-position model. The record is from RNAcentral.